Long non-coding RNA from Gopherus agassizii (Agassiz's desert tortoise), 1597 nucleotides. The record is from Ensembl. NCBI's taxonomy places the organism in Eukaryota, Metazoa, Chordata, Testudines, Testudinidae.
CCAUUAUUACUCUUUUCAAUGUACUUCCCAUACAUCAUGGUAGUCUACUGGCUUCUGUUUUGAUUGUCCCUUGGAAAUGUCAGCUUUUAUAUGUAGAAGAGUCAUCUGACUGGAUUCCACAGCUGCUCCCUUUGAGUUUUCCAGCAAGUGCUCCACAUCUGCAGAUCUCAUCACUUUACUUCCAGGGCUUAACACACACGCACACAGGCACCCUCUGCAUAGUCAGGUUUAGUUUCUGCAACAGGAACCCUGCUUGCACUCAUUUAGAUGAAAAACAGGGGCAACCACUGCUUUCCUGUGACAACAUUUAAAUAGCCAUAGAGCAGAUGGUGCAAACGUGACCUGAAUUAAGAACAGCUUUACUCUUUUUUGUAUCUCUUUUUCUUGUUGGACAUUAAAGAAGAAAAUAAUUUAAACCAAGAAAAAAAAAAGGAGGGGGUGUUAGAAGCCACAGCAAAACAUUAUGUAAGCAGCACAAUAACCUAAGACUGCUCAGCAAAAGCAGCAGCAUUUGAUAGGUAUUCAGUCUAUUUCUGGGCUACUUUUUCCAUACUGCAUGAAGAUGUAUAAAGCAGGGGUUCUCAGACAGGGGGUCGGGACCCCUCAGGGGGCUGUGAGGUUAUUACGUGGGGGUUGCGAGCUGUCAGCCUCCACCCCAAACCCCGCUUUGCCUCCAGCAUUUAUAAUGGUGUUAAAUAUAUAAAAAGUGUUUUUAAUCUAUAAGGGGGUAUCACACUCAGAGGCUUGCUAUGUGAAAGGAGUCACCAGGACAAAAGUUUGAGAGUCACUGAUAUAAAGGAAAGUGGUCCCUCAUUUCUUGGAAUAGGUCUAACUACUUGAAAACCUAGAAGAAGAAGCUUAUGGCAAGGUUCUCAGAUUUCUCUUAACUACUUCCCUGGAAUAAUUUUUAUGGUAACCACUAGGCAACAAAGCAUAAGACUGCAAGGAUGUUAUUUGACUGUUCCAGCUAUGAUAAAACCUAUAGUAUGUCCUUACAGAUUGAUUGAUUCUAGAGAGGAGGAAAAAUUGUAGUAAGAAAGUUCAUGCUUCAUUUCAGCAUGUUAGUAUAACAGUGGGCUAAAUCCUGCUUGGUCCAAUUGGGCCAAAUCCUGUAAAAGUGAAUUAAGGUUUAUCUACACAGGCACACUCAGGAAAAUUAAUCCAAAUUAACUCUGGGUGUGAAUUUAAAAUGGAUUGGAUAAAUUGCAUUAAAUCGCUGUGUGGACACACUCAUUUGGAAUUUAAAUGGCCUUAAUUCAGUUAGCUUAGUUCACUUUCCUGAGUGUCCAAGUAUAAAGUCAUUUAUAUAAAAUGUCUUUUCCUCAGGCAAAAUCCAGGUCACUAAACUAAAGCAAAGGUUUAACCAAUUUAAACCUGGCUGAUCUUUAUUGAUAGAUGACUAGUCAUUGCAGAUUUAUAAAAUUAUAGCUACCUUUACAUAUAUUACAUAGCAUGUAGAUUCUCAUUAGCUGAGCCCAUCAAAUGGCUUAAUGAAGCAAAAGGCCUGAUUGCUGAGACACAGGUGAGACUCAGGACUAACACCACAUAGAUCACUACAAAGGCUCGAAGUCAAUAAAAGUUAAAUUGUCCUGUGCCA